UACGGGGGGAGCAAGCGUUGUUCGGAUUUACUGGGCGUAAAGCGCGCGUAGGCGGCUUUGUAAGUUAGAGGUGAAAGCCCGGGGCUCAACUCCGGAACUGCCUUUAAGACUGCAUCGCUUGAAUCCGGGAGAGGUGAGUGGAAUUCCGAGUGUAGAGGUGAAAUUCGUAGAUAUUCGGAAGAACACCAGUGGCGAAGGCGGCUCACUGGACCGGUAUUGACGCUGAGGUGCGAAAGCGUGGGGAGCAAACAGG
This 253-nucleotide ribosomal RNA is filed under the name uncultured bacterium. Its description in RNAcentral is "partial 16S ribosomal RNA". It matches the Rfam family "Bacterial small subunit ribosomal RNA", at positions 524 to 776 of the family's 1533-position model. The record is from RNAcentral.